Molecule: ribosomal RNA, 253 nt
Filed under: uncultured bacterium
Lineage: Bacteria
Description: partial 16S ribosomal RNA
Rfam family: Bacterial small subunit ribosomal RNA
Source: RNAcentral
UACAGAGGUCUCAAGCGUUGUUCGGAUUCAUUGGGCGUAAAGGGUGCGUAGGCGGCGCGGUAAGUCGGGUGUGAAAUCUCGGGGCUUAACUCCGAAACUGCAUUCGAUACUGCCGUGCUUGAGGACUGGAAAGGAGACUGGAAUUUACGGUGUAGCGGUGAAAUGCGUAGAUAUCGUAAGGAAGACCAGUGGCGAAGGCGGGUCUCUGGACAGUUCCUGACGCUGAGGCACGGAGGUCAGGGGAGCAAACGGG